UACAGAGGUCUCAAGCGUUGUUCGGAUUCAUUGGGCGUAAAGGGUGCGUAGGCGGCGCGGUAAGUCGGGUGUGGAAUCUCGGGGCUUAACUCCGAAACUGCAUUCGAUACUGCCGUGCUUGAGGACUGGAGAGGAGACUGGAAUUUACGGUGUAGCGGUGAAAUGCGUAGAUAUCGUAAGGAAGACCAGUGGCGAAGGCGGGUCUCUGGACAGUUCCUGACGCUGAGGCACGAAGGCCAGGGGAGCAAACGGG
RNAcentral lists this ribosomal RNA (253 nucleotides) under uncultured bacterium. RNAcentral describes it as "partial 16S ribosomal RNA". It matches the Rfam family "Bacterial small subunit ribosomal RNA", at positions 524 to 776 of the family's 1533-position model. The record is from RNAcentral.